CGGACGGGUGAGUAAUGCAUAGGAAUCUACCCAGUAGUGGGGGAUAUCUUGGAGAAAUUCAAGUUAAUACCGCAUAUGUCCUACGGGGCAAAGCAGGGGACCUUCGGGCCUUGUGCUAUUGGAUGAGCCUAUGUCGGAUUAGCUAGUUGGUAGGGUAAAGGCCUACCAAGGCGACGAUCCGUAGCUGGUUUGAGAGGAUGAUCAGCCACACUGGAACUGAGACACGGCCCAG
Molecule: ribosomal RNA, 232 nt
Filed under: uncultured bacterium
Lineage: Bacteria
Description: partial 16S ribosomal RNA
Rfam family: Bacterial small subunit ribosomal RNA
Source: RNAcentral